RNAcentral lists this ribosomal RNA (433 nucleotides) under uncultured bacterium. RNAcentral describes it as "partial 16S ribosomal RNA". It matches the Rfam family "Bacterial small subunit ribosomal RNA", at positions 29 to 507 of the family's 1533-position model. The record is from RNAcentral.
AACGAACGCUGGCGGCAUGCCUAACACAUGCAAGUCGAACGAGACCUUCGGGUCUAGUGGCGCACGGGUGCGUCACGCGUGGGAACAUGCCCUUAGGUUUGGAAUAACUCUACGACAGGGGUGCUAAUACCGGAUAAUGUCUUCGGCCCAAAGAUUUAUUGAAUUUGGAUGGGCACGAGUUGGAUUAGCUAGUUGGUAGGGUAAAAGAAUACCAAGGCGACGAUCCAUAGCUGGUCUGAGAGGAUGAUUAGCAACACUGGGACUGGGACACGGCCCAGACUCCUACGGGAGGCAGCAGUGGGUAAUAUUGGACAAUGGGCGAAAGCCUGAUCCAGCUAGGCCGCGUGAGUGAUGAAGGCCGUAGGGUUGUAAUGCUCUUGUACCCGGGAUGAUAAUGACAGUACCGGGAGAAUAAGCUCCGGCUAACUCCGUG